This is a non-coding RNA of Alligator sinensis (Chinese alligator), 539 nucleotides long. The record is from the annotation of a RefSeq genome assembly. NCBI's taxonomy places the organism in Eukaryota, Metazoa, Chordata, Crocodylia, Alligatoridae.
UCACUCGUUACACCCUGCAGAUCAGCUUUGGGCCAGUCAUGCAUACCAAGAUGAUCUCGCAGGCUCCACUCCUCUGGCUGUUACUGCUCUGCAUCCAUGGUUCAAGUGGAGACCGUGUGAUGACCCAGACUCCAGAGUCCCUGGCACCAUCCCUGGGAGACACAGUCACCAUCAAAUGCAAAUGCAGCUCCAGCCUCACAUCUGCAGGAAAGGAGUUCCUAGGCUGGUACCAGCAGAAACCUGGACAAGCUCCUAAACUCAUCAUCACUUUUGCUUCCACACGGCAACCGGGAGUCCCGGCCCGGUUCAGCGGCAGUGGGUCUGGAACAGAUUUCACUCUCACCAUCAGCAGUGUACAAGCUGAAGAUGCUGGAGAUUAUUACUGUCAGCAGAAUUAUGGUGCACCUCUCACAGUGAUACAAACCAGUACAAAAACCUCCCGGCACUCUUCAGAUCAGCACGGCAGGUGCUUCCUUAACAGUCACCUUCGGAGUACAUGUGCUACACAGAGGGGCACAUUUUCUCCUUUGUUGAAAUGA